AUCUUUCUGGUUCAUUCAAAUGAUGAUCGGUGCGAUCACAGAUCCAUCUGUGACAGGUGCAGCCCUCACCUUGUUACGCUCUGCGCCUCAGCCCGUCUGAUA
Small nucleolar RNA from Epinephelus fuscoguttatus (brown-marbled grouper), 102 nucleotides. RefSeq annotates it as small nucleolar RNA U13. The transcript has a single exon. NCBI's taxonomy places the organism in Eukaryota, Metazoa, Chordata, Actinopteri, Perciformes, Serranidae. The record is from RefSeq and is a predicted model, not a curated record.